GGAGACGGUUUCAUUGUCGGCUUCUGCUGAUGAUGUAACAGUGUUUUUAAAGGGGAGGGAGAUGUAGAAGAGUUUAGCAAGGCUUUAUUGUUGUUUGAGGUGAUGGUAUCAGCUAAGGUGACCUGGGAGAAGAGUGGGAUCUCCUAGUCUUCCUGGGGGGCUACAGUGGGUCAGAGCAGGAUCUCCUAGUCUUCCUGGGGGGCUACAGUGGGUCAGAGCAGGAUCUCCUAGUCUUCCUGGGGGGUUACAGUGGGUCAGAGCAGGAUCUCCUAGUCUUCCUGGGGGGUUACAGUGGGCCAGAGCAGGAUCUCCUAGUCUUCCUGGGGGGUUACAGUGGGUCAGAGCAGGAUCUCCUAGUCUUCCUGGGGGGCUACAGUGGGUCAGAGCAGGAUCUCCUAGUCUUCCUGGGGGGCUACAGUGGGUCAGAGCAGGAUCUCCUGGUCUUCCUGGGGGGGUUACAGUGGGUCAGAGCAGGAUCUCCUAGGCUUCCUGGGGGGUUACACUGGGUCAUAGCAGGAUCUCCUAGUCUUCCUGGGGGGCUACAGUGGGGCAGAGAAGAGAUGUUCUUAAGGGUGUUCUUGGGGGCCUCAGAGUUUCAGGAGAGAAACUGGGAGGGGCUGGUGGACAAGGUUGCAGUUAAGUUGUCUAAAUGGCGGUGGUUGUUGCCACUGGUCACCAAUAACUUGGCGGCUUCAAUGAUCUAUCACAGGCUGAUGGUGUUGGAACCCCACAGAGUCUCGUCUAGCAACUGCAGAGGUCACAGGUGGAUUUAUUUUGGUCAACACUGGCCACAUGCAGAAGUGUUACAUCUCCCUUUGCAUCACGGGGGCCAAGGGCUGGUGGAUAUUGGGUCCAGAGUGACAGCUUUCCGUCUUAAAGCUGCAAAGAGACUUCUGUACCAGAAGGGUGUGUGCUGCAGGGACAGUGCUUGGGCUGUUCUGAGGAGAGCACAGGACCUUGGGUAUGACCUUGGUAUCUGCUCACAGAGAUGUUUCAUGGCCAUGGAUAAUGGAGAAGCCACCGUUGCACAACCUAUUCAUCCAGUCCAGAGUGUUGACCUCCGCCAGCUUGCAAGCCAGGCUUGUGAGAGCGGGGAUCACUAAGUUGGGUGACCUGGAAGAAGAGGCUGGGUGGAAAUCUGCCAGCGACAUCGCGGAGGCUUCAUCCACAAGGUCAGCCAGGCUGCUGCAGCAGGAGGUGGAGGGGGUCCAUGCUGCACUUCCGGGCUCAUUCAGAGAGCCGCUAGGGAGACUGGAACCGUCUAACCACUAAUGACACUGAUCUACCUCCUUUCACAAUUGCUGCCACUGCAGAGAAUACCAGUAGGGUGAGGGAAUGAUCCUAUCGUUCAAGACUCCAAAGCUGGGAACCUUUUGCACAGCAAAAAGGCUCUGUACAUGGUAGCUGUGAAGGUGGCUCAGAAAGACCAUCUGCAUGGGCUGAGGGCAACAGGGUGGUAGAGGGACGGGGGUUGGGAACGUGGCUCCUCUCUGAGAGGAUGUUGGCGCUCCCUGUAUAAGCCUCUCAUAGAGAAGGUUAGGGUCAGGGUUAGCUAACAUGCUGAGUAGUUGCAAAGUAGCUAAAAAGUAGUAAGUAGUUGAAAAGUUGCUAAUUAGCAAAAAUUCUGAAGUUGUCCGUGAUGAGAUUGGAUCUCACAACCUUUUGGUUGCUAGAUAAUCAUGUUAUAAGCCCUCCCUCCACCCCGACCAACCACCCUACUUUUGUUUUUGGGUCUGACUCUGGACCCAUUUAUUGGCGGGCCUACGUAUAGCGUAGCCAAUAGGUGAAGGGACUGCCUAGUAAACUACUGGUUGGGACAGUUAAAAAUGGCAGUGUGCCAGGAAACAUGAGAUGCAUGUGGCGGGGUGUAUAGACCCCAGAGCUGUGCUGCUAGUACUUAUGCCGGCUCGGCUCACACUGGAGUAUGCAUAUGGGAGGAUGGAAAACCAUCUGGGGGAUUUUGAGAGGGAUUGGAUGGGGUUCUAUGUGCAGUGAAUGAGGAGUGGGGUUUGUUUCGAACUUGCUAGUGUGUUAACCUCUUGGGGCUAUGUGGGACGCUAGCGUGCCACCCGUGGUGCACCCUAUCAACAGCAGGUGCAUUUCAAGAGCGGCAAAUUUGAAACCAAAUAAAUGUCAAAAUUCAAAUUUUUCAAACAUACAACUAUCUUACACCCUUUGAAAGAUAAACAUCUCCUUAAUCUAACCACAUUGUCCGAUUUCAAAAAGGUUUUACGGCGAAAGCAUAAAGAUAGAUUAUGUUAGGAGAGUACAUUGACAAUAGCUGUGUGUAAUGUUUUGUCAAUUCAAAGACAGGCAUCACCAAAACCACAAAAUCAGCUGAAGUUAUGCACUAACCUUUGACAAUCUCCAUCAGAUGACACUCCUAGGACAUUAUGUUAG
This 2400-nucleotide long non-coding RNA is filed under the name Salmo salar (Atlantic salmon). RNAcentral's name for it is "lncRNA (ENSSSAG00000112946.1)". The record is from RNAcentral. Lineage: Eukaryota; Metazoa; Chordata; Actinopteri; Salmoniformes; Salmonidae.